CCUACGGGAGGCUGCAGUGAGGAAUAUUGGUCAAUGGGCUUACGCCUGAACCAGCCAAGUCGCGUGAGGGAAGACUGCCCUAUGGGUUGUAAACCUCUUUUGUCAGGGAGCAACGCCCGCUACGUGUACCCCUUCUGAUGGUCCCUGAGAAAAAGGCUUCGCCUAACCCCUUGCCAGCAGCGGCGUUAAUCCGGAGGAUCCGAGCUUAAUCCGGAUUUUUUGGGUUUAAAGGUUUCGUGGGCGGAAUGCCAAGUCAGCGGUAAAAUCGAGGGGCUCAACCUCGCUCCGCCGUUGAAACUGGCGGUCUGGAGUGGGCGAGAAGUAUGCGGAAUGCGUGGUGUAGCGGUGAAAUGCAUAGAUAUCACGCAGAACUCCGAUUGCGAAGGCAGCAUACCGGCGCCCAACUGACGCUGAAGCACGAAAGCGUGGGUAUCGAACAGGAUUAGAUACCCGAGUAGUC
RNAcentral lists this ribosomal RNA (460 nucleotides) under uncultured bacterium. RNAcentral's name for it is "partial 16S ribosomal RNA". It matches the Rfam family "Bacterial small subunit ribosomal RNA", at positions 338 to 795 of the family's 1533-position model. The record is from RNAcentral.